GAACAGUGUUACCGAUCUUUACAGUACCCAUUGUUGCUCCUAUAUGCCUGUUAGGGGCGGGCACGCCGCCCCACGAACACGCGCGCCACCCUUUAUCGCCACCAUGGCUUUUAUAGAUAAACCCUUGUUUCUUCUUCUUUUUCUCAUUCUAUCAUCAAUGCAUUUUGUUGUCUCUUUAGGAUUGACAGACGCCGAAAUCCUUCUUAAAUUCAAGGGUUCUCUAUCCAAUGCGUCGGCAUUAGUCAGUUGGAGUGACAACACCAAUCCAUGCACAGGGGACGUAUCAAAUUGGAAUGGUGUUAUUUGUCUUAAAAGUUCCGUUAGGGGUUU
RNAcentral lists this unclassified non-coding RNA (330 nucleotides) under Hevea brasiliensis (rubber tree). The record is from RNAcentral. Lineage: Eukaryota; Viridiplantae; Streptophyta; Magnoliopsida; Malpighiales; Euphorbiaceae.